This 69-nucleotide transfer RNA is filed under the name Methylotenera sp. RNAcentral describes it as "tRNA-Lys". It matches the Rfam family "tRNA", at positions 9 to 71 of the family's 71-position model. From Rfam's summary of the family: Transfer RNA (tRNA) molecules are approximately 80 nucleotides in length. The record is from RNAcentral. Lineage: Bacteria; Pseudomonadati; Pseudomonadota; Betaproteobacteria; Nitrosomonadales; Methylophilaceae.
GGCUUUCCAGCCACAUGAAGCAGCGGACUUUUAAUCCGUUUGUCGUGGGUUCGAUCCCCGCACACACCA